GAUGAAGAACGCAGCAAAAUGCGAUACUUGGUGUGAAUUGCAGAAUCCCGUGAACCAUCGAGUUUUUGAACGCAAGUUGCGCCCGAAGCCUUUUGGCCGAGGGCACGUCUGCCUGGGCGUCACGCAUCGCGUCGCCCCCCACAAUUCUCCGUAAAGGGAACAUGUGUUUUGGGGGCGGAUAUUGGUCUCCCGUGAUCAUGGCGUGGUUGGCCGAAAUAGGAGUCCUUUCGAUGGACGCACGAACUAGUGGUGGUCGUAAAAACCCUCGUCUUUUGUUUCGUGCUGUUGCUCGCAAGGUAAACUCUUUAAAAACCCCAAUGUGUCGUCUCUUGACGACGCUUCGACCGCGACCCCAGGUCAGGCGGGACUACCCGCUGAGUUUAAGCAUAUCAAAAGCGGAGGA
This 403-nucleotide unclassified non-coding RNA is filed under the name soil metagenome. Its description in RNAcentral is "partial contains 5.8S ribosomal RNA, internal transcribed spacer 2, and large subunit ribosomal RNA". The stretch from base 1 to 122 matches the Rfam family "5.8S ribosomal RNA", at positions 35 to 154 of the family's 154-position model. The record is from RNAcentral.